CUGGCUCAGGAUGAACGCUAGCGACAGGCUUAACACAUGCAAGUCGAGGGGCAGCACGGGAGUAGCAAUACAACGUGGUGGCGACCGGCGCACGGGUGAGUAACGCGUAUGCAACCUACCUAUCAGAGGGGAAUAACCCGGCGAAAGUCGGACUAAUACCGCAUAAAACAGGGGCACCGCAUGGUGAUAUUUGUUAAAGAGAUUCGCUGAUAGAUGGGCAUGCGUUCCAUUAGGUAGUUGGUGAGGUAACGGCUCACCAAGCCGACGAUGGAUAGGGGAACUGAGAGGUUGGUCCCCCACACUGGUACUGAGACACGGACCAGACUCCUACGGGAGGCAGCAGUGAGGAAUAUUGGUCAAUGGGCGGGAGCCUGAACCAGCCAAGUCGCGUGAAGGAAGAAGGAUCUAUGGUUCGUAAACUUCUUUUGCAGGGGAAUAAAGUGCAGGACGUGUCCUGUUUUGUAUGUACCCUGAGAAUAAGGAUCGGCUAACUCCGUGCCAGCCGCGGC
RNAcentral lists this ribosomal RNA (509 nucleotides) under uncultured bacterium. RNAcentral's name for it is "bacterial SSU rRNA". It matches the Rfam family "Bacterial small subunit ribosomal RNA", at positions 19 to 518 of the family's 1533-position model. The record is from RNAcentral.